ACACAAGAAGCCAGGGACCAAACCGCCAAAACCGCCGCCAAGGUCCUUCGAUGAAAUGGAGCAGGAAUUGGUUGGUCAGGUUCCUGUUCCGAUGGCACCCAGGCAUUUGUCAUGUUUUAUCACUGGGAAGCUUCUUGUGGACCCUGUUAAAACGAAGUAUGAUACAGUCUACGAGCGAAGGGCCAUCGAGGAUUUUCUUAAAACGGGAAUGUUUGAUCCACAAAUGGGGAAAGACUAUCCGCUCGGGUUGUCAGAUCUCAUACCAGAUCCAGAAAUGAAGCAGAGGCUGACGAUUUUCCGACUUCAUCAAAUUGGUAACUAUCGACUACUUUGGCUUCUUUGAUCUGUAAACAUUGUUCCGGCAUCAUGGAUUAUUUUUUAAGAUUGUUUUUUACAUUUGAAAGAUCAAACAAUAAUCACUGUACAUUCUUUUCAAAAGGGAAUGGCAAAUACUUAGAUCAUUUGUCUGCUUUCUCACUGUAGUUAGCAGCGACAAACAACAUAUUUCCCAAACUUGAUGGAUACCAUGCUGAAAACCUCUAUCAAGCCUAUUUUCAGCUAUUCAUUAGAAUUAUAACUAUUCUUUUACUAUUUACUAUUCUUUACUAUGUGUUUUUAGACAGAUCUGUUUUAAAUAGACCAAUGUUCCAAUAAGGAGCUACACUUCUAUUUCCUAAACUCAGACCGUACUGUCUCCUGAUGAGCAAUAGUUUCAAUCAUUUGUAUCACUGUUGAUUUCAUUUUUCUAUUUUACGCCACUAUAUCAUCCCAUGUGAAUUAUUUGAUGACAUAAACAUACUUAGAAUGUGUGCUUGAAAUAUGCAGGAACCGCAUUCUUUUACUUAUAGAAAUUAGUCAUCAGCUCAAAAACCAAAGAAAUAGAUCAGGCCCAUAUGGAACCUGGUUGUAACACAACCUAUUCGUUGAUUUAUUUUAGUACUCUGUGUGUAAUUCAAUGUUCUUUUGUUUUAAUAAUGUUGAAGCUCAAAGUCCAGCAUUUAAUUUCUGAAUGAAUUGAUCAAUUAAUCGAUCAGUUUUAAAUCAUGCUUAUUUCAUAUGGACAGUAAAAAAAUGAUUCAGCGUAUCUUUUUCACUGGGGCAGAUAUUUGUUUAUCACCUAUAUCUUAUUAAGGCUACUACUUUUAUAAUAAAUAACAGCCAUGGGGAAUAAAUAGGUAUUUUUUCUUGAAAUAUAAAACCCUAAUUGCAGUAUGUUUUGCAGCAAGUGAUUGGUAAAUAUGAUUGGUUUAAUCCAGAGUUCACUUCAUUAGUUGUGUGUUUUUAUUGAAUAGUAAGGGUUAGAUGAGACAGCAUAAUUAAACCUACGUUCAAGUAAACUUUGUAAUUUUAUGUGAUUCAAACCAUGCCAAAUUCUUGCCAUGUAAUUUGCCUUUGUAUUUGAAACAUGAAAUUGGAUCAAGCAUUUUAUGAGAAAAAACAAAAAUAGAGUGCACUGUGUAACAUUCAAUUUAAGCCCUAAUAAAGUCAAACUUUUGAAACCAAGAUAACAUGCUGCAGCUUCUACAUGCAAUGUCUGUUUGUUCCUUUAAUUGUUGAUGAUUACUAAUUGUAUUAAUAAAAAUCAGCAGUUUUUACUUUCCACUAGAUAACGUAAUGUCCUCUGGGCCAUGUAAUACAAACUCUGUAUUAACUUUUAUUUAAAGAGCCCAUGCCAUUAAAAUCACAUUUUUCCUGUUGUUUGUUAAAUAACAUAGGUCUGAAUAAGUUUGUGAGCUGUGGUAAGUUUGAAAUCUAUGCAGUUUGUCUGCUGAAUGCAAUAGGCAAUGAAAGGAAAAAGGCAGAAGA
Gadus chalcogrammus (walleye pollock) is the source of this 1806-nucleotide long non-coding RNA. RefSeq lists it as uncharacterized. NCBI's taxonomy places the organism in Eukaryota, Metazoa, Chordata, Actinopteri, Gadiformes, Gadidae. The transcript has 3 exons. The record is from RefSeq and is a predicted model, not a curated record.